CCUGGCUCAGAUUGAACGCUGGCGGCAGGCCUAACACAUGCAAGUCGAGCGGAUGAGUGGAGCUUGCUCCAUUGAUUCAGCGGCGGACGGGUGAGUAAUGCCUAGGAAUCUGCCUGGUAGUGGGGGACAACGUUUCGAAAGGAACGCUAAUACCGCAUACGUCCUACGGGAGAAAGCAGGGGACCUUCGGGCCUUGCGCUAUCAGAUGAGCCUAGGUCGGAUUAGCUAGUAGGUGAGGUAAUGGCUCACCUAGGCGACGAUCCGUAACUGGUCUGAGAGGAUGAUCAGUCACACUGGAACUGAGACACGGCCCAGACUCCUACGGGAGGCAGCAGUGGGGAAUCUUAGACAAUGGGCGCAAGCCUGAUCUAGCCAUGCCGCGUGAGCGAUGAAGGCCUUAGGGUUGUAAAGCUCUUUCAGAUGGGAAGAUAAUGACGGUACCAUCAGAAGAAGCCCCGGCUAACUACGUG
Molecule: ribosomal RNA, 470 nt
Filed under: uncultured bacterium
Lineage: Bacteria
Description: bacterial SSU rRNA
Rfam family: Bacterial small subunit ribosomal RNA
Source: RNAcentral